UAGCCGUAGAGUAGCACAGAGAGCUUGCUCUCGGGUGACGAGUGGCGGACGGGUGAGUAAUGUCUGGGAAACUGCCUGAUGGAGGGGGAUAACUACUGGAAACGGUAGCUAAUACCGCAUAACGUCGCAAGACCAAAGAGGGGGACCUUCGGGCCUCUUGCCAUCAGAUGUGCCCAGAUGGGAUUAGCUAGUAGGUGGGGUAACGGCUCACCUAGGCGACGAUCCCUAGCUGGUCUGAGAGGAUGACCAGCCACACUGGAACUGAGACACGGUCCAGACUCCUACGGGAGGCAGCAGUGGGGAAUAUUGCACAAUGGGCGCAAGCCUGAUGCAGCCAUGCCGCGUGUAUGAAGAAGGCCUUCGGGUUGUAAAGUACUUUCAGCGGGGAGGAAGGUGUUGUGGUUAAUAACCGCAGCAAUUGACGUUACCCGCAGAAGAAGCACCGGCUAACUCCGUGCCAGCAGCCGCGGUAAUACGGAGGGUGCAAGCGUUAAUCGGAAUUACUGGGCGUAAAGCGCACGCAGGCGGUCUGUCAAGUCGGAUGUGAAAUCCCCGGGCUCAACCUGGGAACUGCAUUCGAAACUGGCAGGCUAGAGUCUUGUAGAGGGGGGUAGAAUUCCAGGUGUAGCGGUGAAAUGCGUAGAGAUCUGGAGGAAUACCGGUGGCGAAGGCGGCCCCCUGGACAAAGACUGACGCUCAAGUGCGAAAGCGUGGGGGAGCAAACAGGAUUAGAUACCCUGGUAGUC
Molecule: ribosomal RNA, 746 nt
Filed under: Enterobacter sp.
Lineage: Bacteria; Pseudomonadati; Pseudomonadota; Gammaproteobacteria; Enterobacterales; Enterobacteriaceae
Description: bacterial SSU rRNA
Rfam family: Bacterial small subunit ribosomal RNA
Source: RNAcentral